RNAcentral lists this long non-coding RNA (928 nucleotides) under Equus caballus (horse). RNAcentral describes it as "lncRNA (ENSECAG00000054375.1)". The record is from RNAcentral. Lineage: Eukaryota; Metazoa; Chordata; Mammalia; Perissodactyla; Equidae.
GGUAAAUGUUCCAGAGACUUGCAGGUGUUCUCAGAUCAAAUUGGUUUCUUUCUGAAGAAAUUAUGUGAAGCGUUGACACUGGUAAAGCAAUUCCAAAAUGGAAUCUAAUUCAGUGCAUCUUUCUGCUGGUUUCAAAGGAAAAUUGAUUUAUAUAAUAUUAGUUCCCUUUUGAAUCUGACACUGAUCUAAUAAGCGUGUUAUUAUUGUCAUUUGGUAUAUCUCUGCUGAAUAUUAAGCUGUCUAUAUCGUAUAUAUGUGAAUAUAAAAUGGACCAUCUCAUGCCUUCUCAUUGGAAAUACAAGAACUAACGCAGACUCACGAACUCAAGCAGAAAGGGAUUGUAUUGGCAGCGCAUCAGAAAGCUUGAAGAAUCGACAGAAAUACCUAUAAGAAAACCAACAGCAUGAAAAAAUGAAAAACAUAAAGCUACAAGAAAACUUGAUUUGAGGAAACAGCCCAAAGAAGGUCACACGGAUGCCAGCACGUGCCUGCCUGCCUCUGGAGCACAGCACUGGUCCCCACGUCUUCUUCAUCAUCUCUUCUACCAAGAAAAAAAGAAGCACCCUGUGAGUUAAGGUUGCCAGCCCCACCUGGCAGAGGAAGGAGAAGAAAGAGACCUGUGGUGGCAGAAACAGGAUUGGAACCGAGGCAGGGCUGCGAGGACACCUUCUCUGGCCAAUAGCAGAAAACCUGGAAUAAGAGGAGUCGCAUUCACAGACAAUGAGCUUUUUAAGGUACUGCUCAAAGACCACUGGGAGCAAUAGUGACCCAACUUGACUCCAGACACCGGUAUCUUCUGAUAAAAACGUUCUCAAGUUAAACUUAGUUGAAUUUACAGUGAUGUAUAAGAAGUUUUGAUCUGUAGUAGGGACAGUCCUACCAUCCUACCACCUUCUGCAGCUUCUUCAGGGUUGUUUUGACUAGGCUU